UUUGAAUUUGAAAUAUCCCGUAUAGCCGUUCGCGGGCCGCUGUUGCGUGUUUAAGAGAAAAAAAAACGACUCUUACACUCUCUCUCUCUCUCUCUCUCUCUCUCUCUGACGUAUAUCGCAUAAACUUCAAAACGCCACUCGUAUUCUUUACGAUUAGCCUUGUUCAUUAAUGUGAAGUUUCUCAGAAAACGCUUCAAUGUCUUAUUCUCCAACGGUUAUCACAGUGCAUACGGUGAAUCCGCGUUUAUGCAUCCAAGUGGCGAAUGAAAACAACCUCAUUCUUGUUUUCUACAAUUGAUCAAAUAAUACGCAAAGAAUCAAACCGUGUCACCCAAUAUCUCCCACCUAUUACAACUCUUUAUCUUUUUAUCGAAUCUCCUUCCCUUACGUGCAUUUCUCCGCCUCUAUGUAUGCGGUAAAAUUCACGCCGAUAUAUUAUAUUACGAAUUUGAUUAUAGGCGUGCGCGCAGCACGAGCAUUUUGCAAUUUAUCGUGCGGUCUCCGGCAAGAUUCGUACUAGUCGCUUGCGCGCGUUCGGACGAGCGAGAAAUAAAUCCGCUGCAUUUUUACAAGCUCGUUUUUUAUAGCCAGACCUCAAAGCGAACGAGACAUUUAUCUGUACCGCGCACGCGCGCGCGUGGUUCCAAGAGCGAGUAAUGCGUGUUUUGUAAACGCCACGGUAAUAUAAUUUUGCUUUUUUCUACGUCGUAUACAAAGGAGGAUCGGAUAGCUCUGAAUGAUGUGUGGUUGCCUUGAUUUUAUCGAGAGCUUGAGUUUGGAGUUGAAGUGUGCGAAUGUGCGAGAAGAAAGCCAAGGUGACACUGAUGGAUCAAGUGCGCAAGCUUGGAGGGAAUUUCGAUCAACGAAUAUAUUGAGCGAGUGAGGGAUUGAUCUGAUUUACGUAAUUGGAGAUCGGCUGCUUAUCACGUGGUUGUGAAUUUUAGUGAAUAUUGACCAUAAAUCUUUGGCUUGUCAAUCUGGAUUUAUUCUGACACAGAGGCGGAUGUCAUAUACCGACUUUAAUAAUGAGCUUUUCAAGCAACUCUGUUGUUACUCUGUUGACAAACAACGCAUUGUUUCAUAAUGCCUGAUGAUGAGUUGUGCAUGUAUACAGUAUUGCGACCGCAAAAUACUGCUAUAGAAAAACUUGAAUUUGAAGAGUUGAUUGGUAUCCGGCUUUUUCAUUUCCCAUUAUUUUUGGCUUCGAUUUUCUUUAGGUUGUAAUUUUAAAAACUGCAUCUAUUUAAUGCACAGUAAAGCUUGAAAUUAUAAAAGAAAAUUAUAUAGGCUUUAUGAAUCAUAGGUUUUUUCACUGCUUUUAGGCCUUGAAUAUGUUCUGAAACACGAAUGAUGUUAUGCAGUGUAAACUUCUGUUUCAGAAAAUACUAGUAAAUAUUACCUGUUUACUCUUUUUGGAGCUGCUCAUUAUCAGGUUGAAAAAUACUUGAAAUGGCGUAUGAAUAUCUCAACACGAGAAUUUAGCAUCGACUGAAGCUACCUCUUAGUCGAUUCACUUUUCAGCACGCAAAAGCUUGAAGAAUGCUUUGUGGGCAAUAAUCAUGAAUUUCAGAUUCUAAUAAUCUUUUCAUUGUUGUAUCAAAUUCAUGUAGUAUAGUGUUUUAUGUAUCCAGUAUAGUGUCUUAUUAAACGAGAAAAGGACAGAAAAAAUUUCAGGGUAACGACAUUACAAAGCAUGGAAAAAUAUCUGGGAUCUUCCAUGAUAGGGAAUUAGUUAAGACAUGUACAUCAUCAUAGAUAAGAUCGAAUCGCAAGUACAGUUUAUUUACGAAAGUUUAUAAAGCAUUGAUCUUUCAAUGUUAUUUACAUUAUACUUACAUGCAUUCAGAUUAUUUCUCAUGCCUAUGAGAUAAGCAUACAAAUUUCUACAUCAAUAACAAUUAUUCCGAACUCCUAUAUAUAAAACUAAUUAUCUCAAACAAUAAGAAUUCGAUGGCUGUUUUACAAUCUCGACCAAACGGUACAUGAAUGUAAAGGAACAAAAUAAGUUAAAUUUUUUACAAGUCGCAAUGACUUCACUAUUUAUAGUAUACAUUGCUAAAAAAUCAAUUUCAACGUAAACACACGUUAAAAAAUGUACUCUACUUAUUCACAAGUUCAUCUGCUUUAUUAUAAGCCUGUUUCGCUCGCAAUGUUCGCAUCGCAAUUUUUACGACUAGUGCAUUCUUUCCUCGUUGCAAUAAAUAUACAGAAGUAGUAUAUAUACGGACAAUGUCGUGUCAUCGAAAUCACAAAAGACGCGGAAUUUCUCAUUGGUCGAUCGAGUGCUGUCACGUGAUUCGUUUUGUCGAUAAAUCGUGAGGUGAAGAAACAUAUGUUUAUUUAUAUUUAAUUUUUUCUAUACAUUUUUUUGUAGUGGAUGAUAUUACACCGUAUGUAAUAAAUUUUUAUUGGAAUGGAAAUAAAUAUUUUAAUUAUUAUGAAAAUAUA
This 2448-nucleotide long non-coding RNA is filed under the name Nasonia vitripennis (jewel wasp). RNAcentral describes it as "uncharacterized LOC107980748, transcript variant X2". Lineage: Eukaryota; Metazoa; Arthropoda; Insecta; Hymenoptera; Pteromalidae. The record is from RNAcentral.